GGGGGUUACGGAGUGAGGCUCUGGGUCACCUCCCACCCGUGUUUAUCGUACCUUGUUGCUUCGGCGGGCCCGCCUCACGGCCGCCGGGGGGCAUCCGCCCCCGGGCCCGCGCCCGCCGAAGACACACAAACGAACUCUUGUCUGAAGAUUGCAGUCUGAGUACUUGACUAAAUCAGUUAAAACUUUCAACAACGGAUCUCUUGGUUCCGGCAUCGAUGAAGAACGCAGCGAAAUGCGAUAAGUAAUGUGAAUUGCAGAAUUCAGUGAAUCAUCGAGUCUUUGAACGCACAUUGCGCCCCCUGGUAUUCCGGGGGGCAUGCCUGUCCGAGCGUCAUUGCUGCCCUCAAGCACGGCUUGUGUGUUGGGCUCUCGCCCCCCGCUUCCGGGGGGCGGGCCCGAAAGGCAGCGGCGGCACCGCGUCCGGUCCUCGAGCGUAUGGGGCUUCGUCACCCGCUCUGUAGGCCCGGCCGGCCCCCGCCGGCGUACACCAUCAAUCUUAACCAGGUUGACCUCGGAUCUUGUAGGGGUUACCCGUUGAUCUUAAGCAUACGCGGCACGCGGAGGAAUUUUCUUAACUCCCUUCAACACCUUUCCCGAUCUAUCACCCAUCACCCUGUAAUUCCCUCCUUUACAGCCCCGCUCCAGCUCUAUUGGAAUGACUAAUUUAAAAUUGACUUCAGUUUUUACUAAUCAAUUAACUUAAGUUAGUUAAGCUAACGAGACACUACCGCGCUCACUUACUUCUUACACUCACUCACAUGUUCUAGUCUAAUAGUCACAUCUAUAUUAUCGA
This 793-nucleotide ribosomal RNA is filed under the name Penicillium oxalicum. RNAcentral describes it as "eukaryotic LSU rRNA". The stretch from base 181 to 334 matches the Rfam family "5.8S ribosomal RNA". The record is from RNAcentral. Lineage: Eukaryota; Fungi; Ascomycota; Eurotiomycetes; Eurotiales; Aspergillaceae.